This is a non-coding RNA of Aegilops tauschii subsp. strangulata, 3001 nucleotides long. The record is from RefSeq and is a predicted model, not a curated record. Lineage: Eukaryota; Viridiplantae; Streptophyta; Magnoliopsida; Poales; Poaceae.
AUGGUGAUUAAGAAGAGGUGAACGGGCAGUCAGAGCUCAAUCCACAUCGUCUCUCUCCAUUCCCCAAUAUCAAAUCAGAAGACGAACCAGAGGACGAGAGAGGGGAAUGGCCGGCGCUGCUGAUGCAGUGAGUUCCCCCCUAAUUUUUCUUCUCAAUCCUUCUUUCUGUCUUGUUUUUGCUGAUGCUACACCGUAGAUCUGUAGGGGAUUGGGGUCCUUCUUUCUGUCUUGUUUUUGCUGAUGCUACACCGUAGAUCUGUAGGGGAUUGGGGGGGGGGGUAGUUUUGUUAGUGGAUCGAGUGUAGAUUAGUAGAUUCAAGUCUACGAUGGACUCCAGGAUUUAUAGGCAUUUUUUUGUAUCCUUACUUGUUCAAGCAAUCAACAGAUUGGAGGAUUGAUUUUGGAGGUGGUAGUUUGUACGAACAAGUUCAAGUUGUAUUUUUGUAGUGUCUCAAAGGGGGCGGCCAGAGUAAGCGGCUGCUAGGCCUUUUUUGGUAGGUGGUGCAGACCUAACGCCAAGUUAACCUCAAUUUUUAGUCUUUUUAAUUUCAAUUUUUUUGUUAGCUUCUUAGUCUGAAAAUAGAUUUUAGUCCAGGGGCUUGUUGUGAGUCAGCAACAUGAGGUCCUCGCCCAAGCUAAGUGCAUGUCUGCUGCAAUGUAGGAAUGUGUUACUGUGCCCAUGUAUCCAGUAGAGUAGAUAGGAUUUUUGUAUGUCCAUAAUUCCCCCGCAAGAUGAGGUACCGUUCUUUUUCUUUUUGUAUUAAAUAUCUGAUUAGUAGUUUGAAGCAGAGAAUUGCGUCCAUAGUUUAUAUUUUUUUUAUGUUUUUUUUGCAUGUUGAAUGCACAAUAGUGUCUCUCGCUUAAUGAAUGAUACGUACACUCGUGCGUAUUCGAGAAAAAAAAUAGUGUCUCUCGCUCACGCACGUCGAUCGGCAAUGUCGGUGUGGCAGAUCAUACUGCCAAAGUUCUUGUUGGUGAUAUACCUCAUAUCUCGUGUCCUUAUUGUUCAAGCAGCCAAUAGAUUGGAGGUGUUUUUGUGUGUUUUUUCAUGCAGUUGUAAGGUGCUGGAGAGUGUGGCAGAUCAUACUGUUUUUGUGUGUUUAAGUUCAGUUAGGUUCAGUUAGUCUGGUUCUUUUUCUGCUUCUUCAUAUGUAAAGCCAAGUAAAUUGUACUUCUUUAGUCUGAAGUUCAGUUAGGUUCAGUAAGGUGCUGGAGAUGUACAUGCAUGCAUAUUCAUUUUUGUACACUUUUCGUUUUUUACAAAAUAAAUUGCAUUGGAUACUAAAUUUGUUAACAAUACAUGAACUAGUGAUUACAGUAUAGGCUGGGCAUUUAUAUCUGACACCGUAGACAGUUACUUGUUUGUUCUGUGUGUGCAAAAUGCCGUUUCUAGAGAAUGAACCAGGCAGGAGAACCGUUGUAGCUGCUUACUCAUUGAGGCACUGGUUAGAACUAGUAGUAAAGCCAAGUAGCUAUAAUAGUGAUUAGUAUCUUUUUUGUUUUUUUACUAGUAGCACCACCUUUUUUUCUAUGUAGGUACAUUUAGUUCAGAGGUUAGACUCAUGACCAUCACAGGAGUAUUUUCUGAUCUGUCGAGUAGCAAAAAAUGAAAUAUCUUAGCCUAGAUUAGCAUCGUUUCUGAAUUAAUUUAGUCAUAAAAAUGUAUUAAAAAGCAAAAAAAUUGUCAUUUUUGGGGGGCAGGAUUUAAUUUCAGGAACCUGAACGGACCCUGUGUGAAGCUAUUCGAAACUACUUUUUGUUUGUAAUUCCUUUUUUUUCAGAAGAGCAUAAUAGUAACCACAUGUACAACAAUACUUUCGUUUCUUCUGUUUCCUGAAACUGAAACUACUAGUCUUUUUACAGCAUAAGUACUUUUGUUUUGGUUGUACCAUCGGGUAAGCAUGGUUUUUGGGCUUUUUUCGCAGUCAUUAAGCUGCAUGAAUACAUUGUGAAAUAUAUAUAUGUUUCUGAGGUGAAAGAAUGACACUAUAAAGUGUGUUUUUAGUGAGUUAUCCAUUCUAAUUUUUUUUGCUUCCUUUUUUGAUGUGUACAGGGGGUUUGUGGAGUUUGUUUCAACCAUUGCAAGUAUGAGAGCAAGGGAAGCGGUUUCAGCAUGCUUGCAUGGGAGGAGUUCAAGAAUGCAGGGGUAACUCACUCCUAACUUUUUGUACUAAUGUCAUCACAAUACUCACAACUUUUUGUCGUGACAUCACUCCUAACUUUUUUGUUUUUUUUGUUCAAAUCAGGUUGUGCCUUGCAAUGAAAGGGCCCGUUUCAACAAUGCGACAAGAGAGAAGGUGACGUUUGUGGCAAACCAACGGGCAUACACUGUAAAGUGUUACAAGGGUCACAGAAAGAGCGCUAUGUAUGGGAGAGGUUGGAGGAAGUUCUAUGAAGACAACAAUCUGGGCAAGGGUCAGAUGGUGGUGUUCUACCUGGAUGAACCUUCGCCUACGGCAUCUAUUUUGUGGUUCCAGGUGGGCAACGGCUCUGAAGAUGAACAGCCUAUGGAAGAGGGUGAUCCCAUUGAAGAUUCAGAUUUCAGGUAAUGAGGAUGGAGAAGCUUCAAGCGAUGAUAGUGAAGGCAUUGUUCGCACUAGGGGGCUUUUGCUUAAUGAGACAGAGGAUGCUCAGCUACAAGGGCCGAUGGUUUCAUCGGGUUUGCUUUUGUUCACCGCCUCACAAGGACUGACAUUCGCUUGGGCAUGAUGGAAGAAGUGGAAAGACUUCGCAGCUAGCAGAGGACUCAAAGUCAACACAGCUGUUCUUAUUGGCUUCAAGAGCAGCGAGAGGGAUGAUGUCCAUGUCCUGGUUAUCUUGAAGAAGCUUGGCUAGGCAGCAGCCACAGCAACUAAUGACAAGCAGAGCUGCGUCUAUAAUACUCAUCUUUUGGGUAUUCUAUAUAUUUCUGUGUCGAAGUCUGUAUGACGAACCUUUAAUUUAUGUGUACACCGAACAAUGCGGCUUGAAUAAUAUAUGAUGGGAACCUUUUUCUACAUUA